GAUGAACGCUGGCGGCGUGCCUAAUACAUGCAAGUCGAGCGAGAUGUUAGCGCAUGAACCUUCGGGGGAUUAUGCUAACGGACAGCGGCGGACGGGUGAGUAACGCGUAGGCAACCUGCCCCUGACAGAGGGAUAGCCAUUGGAAACGAUGAUUAAAACCUCAUGACACCGUAGAAGCACAUGCUUCAUCGGUCAAAGAUUUAUCGGUCAGGGAUGGGCCUGCGUCUGAUUAACUAGUUGGUGAGGUAACGGCUCACCAAGGUGACGAUCAGUAGCCGACCUGAGAGGGUGAUCGGCCACAUUGGAACUGAGACACGGUCCAAACUUCUACGGAAGGCAGCAGUAGGGAAUCUUGCACAAUGGGCGAAAGCCUGAUGCAGCAACGCCGCGUGAAGGAUGAAGGCCUUCGGGUUGUAAACUUCUGUUCUAAGGGAAGAAACAAAUGACGGUACCUUAGGAGCAAGCCCCGGCUAACUACGUGCCAGCAGCCGCGGUAAUACGUAGGGGGCAAGCGUUAUCCGGAAUUAUUGGGCGUAAAGAGUGCGUAGGUGGUUACCUAAGCGCAAGGUUUAAUUUAGAGGCUCAACCUCUACUUGCCUUGCGAACUGGGCUACUUGAGUGCAGGAGGGGAAAGCGGAAUUCCUAGUGUAGCGGUGAAAUGCGUAGAUAUUAGGAGGAACACCAGCGACGAAGGCGGCUUUCUGGACUGUAACUGACACUGAGGCACGAAAGCGUGGGUAGCAAACAGG
This 749-nucleotide ribosomal RNA is filed under the name uncultured Mogibacterium sp. RNAcentral's name for it is "bacterial SSU rRNA". It matches the Rfam family "Bacterial small subunit ribosomal RNA", at positions 28 to 776 of the family's 1533-position model. The record is from RNAcentral. Lineage: Bacteria; Bacillati; Bacillota; Clostridia; Peptostreptococcales; Anaerovoracaceae.